RNAcentral lists this ribosomal RNA (546 nucleotides) under Salmonella enterica. RNAcentral's name for it is "bacterial SSU rRNA". It matches the Rfam family "Bacterial small subunit ribosomal RNA", at positions 997 to 1533 of the family's 1533-position model. RNAcentral also lists the same sequence under 2 other names. The record is from RNAcentral. Lineage: Bacteria; Pseudomonadati; Pseudomonadota; Gammaproteobacteria; Enterobacterales; Enterobacteriaceae.
UUUCCAGAGAUGGAUUGGUGCCUUCGGGAACUGUGAGACAGGUGCUGCAUGGCUGUCGUCAGCUCGUGUUGUGAAAUGUUGGGUUAAGUCCCGCAACGAGCGCAACCCUUAUCCUUUGUUGCCAGCGGUUAGGCCGGGAACUCAAAGGAGACUGCCAGUGAUAAACUGGAGGAAGGUGGGGAUGACGUCAAGUCAUCAUGGCCCUUACGACCAGGGCUACACACGUGCUACAAUGGCGCAUACAAAGAGAAGCGACCUCGCGAGAGCAAGCGGACCUCAUAAAGUGCGUCGUAGUCCGGAUUGGAGUCUGCAACUCGACUCCAUGAAGUCGGAAUCGCUAGUAAUCGUGGAUCAGAAUGCCACGGUGAAUACGUUCCCGGGCCUUGUACACACCGCCCGUCACACCAUGGGAGUGGGUUGCAAAAGAAGUAGGUAGCUUAACCUUCGGGAGGGCGCUUACCACUUUGUGAUUCAUGACUGGGGUGAAGUCGUAACAAGGUAACCGUAGGGGAACCUGCGGUUGGAUCACCUCCUUACCUGAAAGAA